AUUGAACGCUGGCGGCAUGCCUUACACAUGCAAGUCGAACGGCAGCGGGCCUUCGGGUGCCGGCGAGUGGCGAACGGGUGAGUAAUGCAUCGGAACGUGCCAUUGAGUGGGGGAUAACGUAGCGAAAGUUGCGCUAAUACCGCAUAUUCUGUGAGCAGGAAAGCAGGGGACCGCAAGGCCUUGCGCUCUUUGAGCGGCCGAUGUCAGAUUAGCUAGUUGGUGAGGUAAAGGCUUACCAAGGCGACGAUCUGUAGCGGGCCUGAGAGGAUGAUCCGCCACACUGGAACUGAGACACGGUCCAGACUCCUACGGGAGGCAGCAGUGGGGAAUUUUGGACAAUGGGCGCAAGCCUGAUCCAGCCAUGCCGCGUGAGUGAAGAAGGCC
RNAcentral lists this ribosomal RNA (384 nucleotides) under uncultured bacterium. RNAcentral's name for it is "bacterial SSU rRNA". It matches the Rfam family "Bacterial small subunit ribosomal RNA", at positions 30 to 416 of the family's 1533-position model. The record is from RNAcentral.